AGUGAACGCUGGCGGUAGGCCUAACACAUGCAAGUCGAACGGCAGCACAGUAAGCUCUUGCUCUUACGGUUGGCGAGUGGCGGACGGGUGAGGCAUACAUCGGAAUCUACUUUUUCUUGGGUGAUAACGUAGGGAAACUUACGCUAAUACCUCAUACGACCUACGGGUGAAAGCAGGAGUGCUUCGGACCUUUCGUGUUUGUAUUAGCUGAUGUCGGAUUAGCUAGUUGGCGGGGUAAAGGCCCACCAAGGCAACGAUCCGUAGCUGGUCUGAGAGGAUGAUCAGCCACACUGGAACUGAGACACGGUCCAGACUCCUACGGGAGGCAGCAGUGGGGAAUAUUGGACAAUGGGCGCAAGCCUGAUCCAGCAAUACCGCGUGAGUGAAGAAGGCCUUCGGGUUGUAAAGCCCUGUUGUUGGGAAAGAAAAGCAGCAGGUUAAUACCUCGCUGUUCUGACGGUACCCAAAGAAUAAGCACCGGCUAACUUCGUG
RNAcentral lists this ribosomal RNA (492 nucleotides) under uncultured bacterium. RNAcentral's name for it is "partial 16S ribosomal RNA". It matches the Rfam family "Bacterial small subunit ribosomal RNA", at positions 29 to 507 of the family's 1533-position model. The record is from RNAcentral.